UCAAGUAAUUGCCCAUAUUGUCACCAUGGUAAUAAUGGGCAGGUUGCUGAAUCCAGAAUGUCACUAUGAUGGUGAAGAAUGAGCUGCUGAAUCCAUAAUGUCACCAUGGUAACAAUGGGUGACACUACUUAAUCCAGAAUGUCACCAUAGUAACAACAGGUUAACUACUGAAUCCAGUAUGUCACCAUGGUAAACAUGGAUGAGGCUGCUGAAUCCAGAAUGUCACCAUGGUAAUGAUGGGUAAGCUGCUGAAUCCAGAUGCAGAUAUCCUUCACAUUCUAGGUAUUACAGUGUGACAGUGGCAACAGAAUUUUGUUUAAUGGAUGAAGACAUUUUCUGAAGAAGGCAGCCCGGUAAUGUGUGUGUUGUGUGUGAAGUAAGGAUCUCUCUACCAGGAAUGUCUGCAGCAGAGUGACCAACUGGCUAGUGGCUUGAGGAGUUGGGCCACAAGCAAGGAACAAAGCCUCUCGGGGGCGUGAGUGUCAGCUGUGCUGGGAACCCUGGUCUGACUCUUCUUCUCACAUCCGAUGAGGAAGAGAGGAGCACACUGCACUGCAUUCUUGCAGAACAAAUGCUGGGUCUCAGGAGGCCUGAGCCAGCUUCACAGCUCUGCCACCCUCAUGUUCACAGCCAAGGAUGAGUCAUUAUACACCUUUGCUUUGCACCUCAGCAAAAUGGCGAUGAUGUUGGAGGUGUCUAAGUCCCUGGUAUCACUCCCUCCCCUCACCAUGGAGAUUGUGUGGUGACUGUGCAGCACGCUAGAUGCAGGAGGUGAGCACAGGCCUCCUUGCCAGCUUUGUUCCAUCCUCAGGAUCCCUUGCCUGGCGGGCACACUGCCUAUUGAUAGCGUGUGAGUCUGCUUCCAAACACCCUGCCAGGCAGAGGCCAGAGAAGAUGACUUGGGAGUGGGCCUGGGCCUCCAUUUUGUGACUCCAGCUUGCUCCUUCCUCAGCCAGGUGGCCUUCUCCUGGCUGUACCACAGGACAUGACACAAGCCAAGAGCAUUCCCUGGAAGGCAGCCUGGUGCUGGCCCAUCUAAGAACUCAUGGAGGUGUGAAGACCCAUCUUUGCAGCCUCCCCAGGAGGGUGAAGAGGAUGUUCUGAUGCUGACUGACUUUCCCGCAGCUGGAUUUGUAGCACCAGCGAAAUGCAAAGGGGCAAAUCCUAGAAGAGCAUUCGCCUGGCUUCUUAACUCCAAGUCUCCUCAGAGUGUUCUACCUCCAGUUUUCCUCCAACCCAAAACACAAAUCAAUUGUGUCCUUUUCAUAAUUAAAAGUGUCAUUGGA
Molecule: non-coding RNA, 1286 nt
Organism: Marmota flaviventris (yellow-bellied marmot)
Lineage: Eukaryota; Metazoa; Chordata; Mammalia; Rodentia; Sciuridae
Source: RefSeq, a predicted model, not a curated record